GAUGAACGCUGGCGGCGUGCCUAAUACAUGCGAGUCGAGCGAACAGACGAGGAGCUUGCUCCUCUGACGUUAGCGGCGGACGGGUGAGUAACACGUGGAUAACCUACCUAUAAGACUGGGAUAACUUCGGGAAACCGGAGCUAAUACCGGAUAAUAUAUUGAACCGCAUGGUUCAAUAGUGAAAGACGGUUUUGCUGUCACUUAUAGAUGGCUCCGCGCCGCAUUAGCUAGUUGGUAAGGUAACGGCUUACCAAGGCAACGAUGCGUAGCCGACCUGAGAGGGUGAUCCGCCACACUGGAACUGAGACACGGUCCAGACUCCUACGGGAGGCAGCAGUAGGGAAUCUUCCGCAAUGGGCGAAAGCCUGACGGAGCAACGCCGCGUGAGUGAUGAAGGUCUUCGGAUCGUAAAACUCUGUUAUUAGGGAAGAACAAAUGUGUAAGUAACUAUGCACGUCUUGACGGUACCUAAUCAGAAAGCCACGGCUAACUACGUG
RNAcentral lists this ribosomal RNA (497 nucleotides) under uncultured bacterium. Its description in RNAcentral is "partial 16S ribosomal RNA". It matches the Rfam family "Bacterial small subunit ribosomal RNA", at positions 28 to 507 of the family's 1533-position model. The record is from RNAcentral.